UCUAGCAUGGCUAAAAUUCUAACUUUGAACCGUUAUCCGGUCGAAGAACAGUUUCAGGUGGGCAGUUUGACUGGGGCGGUCGCCUCCUAAAAGGUAACGGAGGCGUGCAAAGGUUCCCUCAGGCUGGUCGGACAUCAGUCGUAGAGUGUAAAGGCAUAAGGGAGCUUGACUGCGAGACAUACAAGUCGAGCAGAGACGAAAGUCGGCCUUAGUGAUCCGACGGUUCCGAGUGGAAGGGCCGUCGCUCAACGGAUAAAAGUUACUCUAGGGAUAACA
RNAcentral lists this ribosomal RNA (276 nucleotides) under uncultured eukaryote. RNAcentral describes it as "partial large subunit ribosomal RNA". It matches the Rfam family "Bacterial large subunit ribosomal RNA", at positions 2204 to 2479 of the family's 2925-position model. The record is from RNAcentral.